GACGAACGCUGGCGGCGUGCUUAACACAUGCAAGUCGAACGGGAAGGCCCUGCUUUUGGGGGGUGCUCGGGGGGCGAACGGGUGAGUAACACGUGAGUAACCUGCCCUUGACUUUGGUAUAACUUCAGGAAGCUUGAGGUAAUACCGGAUAGGAGCUCCUGCUUCAUGGUGGGGGUUGGAUAGUUUCGGCGGUUGGGGAUGGACUGGCGGCUUAUCAGGUUGUUGGUGGGGUAGUGGCUUACCAAGGCCUUGACGGGUAGCCGGCCUGGUAGGGUGACCGGACACAUCGGGACUGAGAUACGGCCCAGACUACUACGGGAGGCAGCAGUGGGGAAUAUUGUACAAUGGGAGGAAGCCUGAUCUAGUCACGCAGCGUGCGGGAUGACGGCAUUCGGGUUGUAAACCGCUUUCGCCUGUGACGAAGUGUGAGUGACGGUAAUGGGUAAAGAAGCACCGGCUAACUCCGUG
This 468-nucleotide ribosomal RNA is filed under the name uncultured bacterium. RNAcentral describes it as "partial 16S ribosomal RNA". It matches the Rfam family "Bacterial small subunit ribosomal RNA", at positions 28 to 507 of the family's 1533-position model. The record is from RNAcentral.